AGAAAGAAACUAUUGACUUCAACUCUCAACAUAUCAAGGCGUCUUUCCUUUUCUAAUACCUAUUUAUACCGGAAUUUUGAGUACUGGGAAAAUGUCAUAUUUGGUAAAGUAAAUUUAGUGAUUUAGUGAAAGUAAAUUUAAUAUUUUCGAGUCCGAUGAAAGCGUUAAACAUGGAGGCGGUUCCGUCCUAGUUUAGGGCUGUAUGUCAGCUUAUAGAAGGAAUAAUGAAUGCUGAUAUGUAUUUGAAUAUAUUGAAAGAAAAUCUCCACCCCAGUGCUGCUAAAUUGGGUCUGGAAAGGCGAUAAUUCAUUUUCCAACAAGACAAUGACCCAAAACAUACGGCCUGAACCCAGACGUAAACCCUAUAAAAAAUUUGUGGGCCCACCUUAAGCUCAAAGUCCGAGAAAACGAAAUUUCCUCGAAAAAUGAUCUCAAGCGGGUACUACUUUAGGAAUGGUCAAAAAUCUCGGAAGAUACGUGCCGAAAUUUAGUGGAAUCGAUGCCAAGACGCUUGGAAGCUAUUAAGAAAAAACAAAAUACUAAAGCCAAAAAAAUCCUUAAGAUUAAGUGCCUAAAAUAAAAUGCUUAAGGAUGUAA
Drosophila eugracilis is the source of this 597-nucleotide long non-coding RNA. RefSeq lists it as uncharacterized. The record is from RefSeq and is a predicted model, not a curated record. The transcript has 3 exons. Lineage: Eukaryota; Metazoa; Arthropoda; Insecta; Diptera; Drosophilidae.